Molecule: transfer RNA, 73 nt
Filed under: Plasmodium vivax (malaria parasite P. vivax)
Lineage: Eukaryota; Apicomplexa; Aconoidasida; Haemosporida; Plasmodiidae
Description: Ile transfer RNA (gat)
Rfam family: tRNA
About the family: Transfer RNA (tRNA) molecules are approximately 80 nucleotides in length. Their secondary structure includes four short double-helical elements and three loops (D, anti-codon, and T loops).
Source: RNAcentral
UAGGUUUUUAGUUUAAUGGUAAAACAUACUCUUGAUAAGGGUAAAAUUUUAGUUCAAUUCUAAAAUAACCUAU